AGUCAAUCAGUGACCAGUUUCAAUGAAUAAUAUUCAUGACAUACGUAAGAUAAACAUCUUUCAACGGUUUGGUGAAUUAUGAAUUUGAAACAAGCUUACAUUUCUACAUGUUUGUGCCACCAACAGAAAGAUGGCGCUAGAGGUUAUUGAAUGAAAGGAUAUUGGAGUCCAUAUUGACGAAUAAUAAUUAUCAUGGAUCAUCAAAAUUUUGUCACAUCAAGCAGAGUGAUUGUUUUUAAAGCUUUCGACAAAAUCGAAAA
Leptinotarsa decemlineata (Colorado potato beetle) is the source of this 260-nucleotide long non-coding RNA. The record is from RefSeq and is a predicted model, not a curated record. NCBI's taxonomy places the organism in Eukaryota, Metazoa, Arthropoda, Insecta, Coleoptera, Chrysomelidae.